This 82-nucleotide transfer RNA is filed under the name Strongylocentrotus purpuratus (purple sea urchin). Its description in RNAcentral is "tRNA-Ser". It matches the Rfam family "tRNA". From Rfam's summary of the family: Transfer RNA (tRNA) molecules are approximately 80 nucleotides in length. Their secondary structure includes four short double-helical elements and three loops (D, anti-codon, and T loops). The record is from Rfam by way of RNAcentral. Lineage: Eukaryota; Metazoa; Echinodermata; Echinoidea; Camarodonta; Strongylocentrotidae.
GCUGCGAUGGCCGAGUGGUUAAGGCGUUGGACUCGAAAUCCAAUGGGAUCUUCCCGCGUAGGUUCGAACCCUACUCGCAGCG